AAUAAUGAGUGCACUUUAUUGUGGCUYUAAAAUUUUCAAUAAAUUUCACCCAUUUUAAACCCAAAGCUGUUAUGUGUACCUCUUUUGGUAUAACAUCUCAGUAGUACGCAUCAUGUGGGAUCUUUUUCUCACAAGUUGCAUUACCCCCCCCUUUAUAAGUGACCCACUUUAUCAAUUACUCUAAAAUGUUUUAGGAAUGUAAAUGCCCCUUUAAUUAUAUAUAACUUUUAACAAUGGAUCUCUUGGCUCUCACAUCGAUGAARAACACAGWACCUGUUUGAGUGUCAUGAAACCCUCUCAUUCCAAUUCUUUAUUUAUUUAAAGGGUUGUGAUAUGGAUGUUGAGUGCUGCCGUUAUUGGCUCGCUUUAAAUAUAUAAGUACUUUUAUCAAACAAUAAAUGGAUUUACUUGGUGUAAUAUUUAUUAUUCAUUGAGGAGUGUGGUUUAAUUACUGCAGCCAUUUGCCUUUUGAUAGAUAGCUUCCGAACCCCAAUUAUUAUGUAUUUAGACCUCAAAUCAGGUGGGACUACCCGCUGAACUUAAGCAUAUCAAUAAGCGGAGGAAAAGAAACUAACAAGGAUUCCCCUAGUAACGGCGAGUGAAGAGGGAAAAGCC
RNAcentral lists this ribosomal RNA (615 nucleotides) under Rossmanomyces monesis. RNAcentral describes it as "eukaryotic LSU rRNA". The stretch from base 507 to 615 matches the Rfam family "Eukaryotic large subunit ribosomal RNA", at positions 1 to 109 of the family's 3401-position model. Lineage: Eukaryota; Fungi; Basidiomycota; Pucciniomycetes; Pucciniales; Coleosporiaceae. The record is from RNAcentral.